AUGGUUGAUCAGAAAUCUAGAAGCAUAGAGAUCUGGAUGAUGAACUUACUGCUAUAA
This 57-nucleotide non-coding RNA is filed under the name Caenorhabditis elegans. The record is from RNAcentral. Lineage: Eukaryota; Metazoa; Nematoda; Chromadorea; Rhabditida; Rhabditidae.